GGGGAGGUACCCAAGUGGCCAAAGGGAACAGACUGUAAAUCUGUCGCUGUAUAGCUUCGGAGGUUCGAACCCUCCCCUCCCCA
Non-coding RNA from Nitrospirae bacterium GWA2_42_11, 83 nucleotides. The record is from Rfam. NCBI's taxonomy places the organism in Bacteria, Pseudomonadati, Nitrospirota.